UACGUAGGGUGCGAGCGUUAAUCGGAAUUACUGGGCGUAAAGCGUGCGCAGGCGGUUGUGCAAGACAGAUGUGAAAUCCCCGAGCUUAACUUGGGAACUGCAUUUGUGACUGCACGGCUAGAGUGUGUCAGAGGGGGGUAGAAUUCCACGUGUAGCAGUGAAAUGCGUAGAUAUGUGGAGGAAUACCGAUGGCGAAGGCAGCCCCCUGGGAUAACACUGACGCUCAUGCACGAAAGCGUGGGGAGCAAACAGG
Molecule: ribosomal RNA, 253 nt
Filed under: uncultured bacterium
Lineage: Bacteria
Description: partial 16S ribosomal RNA
Rfam family: Bacterial small subunit ribosomal RNA
Source: RNAcentral